RNAcentral lists this transfer RNA (89 nucleotides) under Perca flavescens (yellow perch). It matches the Rfam family "tRNA". From Rfam's summary of the family: Transfer RNA (tRNA) molecules are approximately 80 nucleotides in length. Their secondary structure includes four short double-helical elements and three loops (D, anti-codon, and T loops). The record is from Rfam by way of RNAcentral. Lineage: Eukaryota; Metazoa; Chordata; Actinopteri; Perciformes; Percidae.
CCUUCGAAAGCUCAGUUGGUAAAGCGGAAGACUGUAGGUUGAUAAAUGUAUGCAUUUUUAUGUCGCUGGUUCUAUUCCAACUCAAAGAA